CAAACGACUCUCGGCAACGGAUAUCUCGGCUCACGCAUCGAUGAAGAACGUAGCAAAAUGCGAUACUUGGUGUGAAUUGCAGAAUCCCGUGAACCAUCGAGUUUUUGAACGCAAGUUGCGCUCGAAGCCUUUUGGCUGAGGGCAYGCCUGCCUGGGCGUCACAC
RNAcentral lists this ribosomal RNA (164 nucleotides) under Hertia angustifolia. RNAcentral describes it as "5.8S ribosomal RNA". It matches the Rfam family "5.8S ribosomal RNA". From Rfam's summary of the family: 5.8S ribosomal RNA (5.8S rRNA) is a component of the large subunit of the eukaryotic ribosome. It is transcribed by RNA polymerase I as part of the 45S precursor that also contains 18S and 28S rRNA. Functionally, it is thought that 5.8S rRNA may be involved in ribosome translocation. The record is from RNAcentral. Lineage: Eukaryota; Viridiplantae; Streptophyta; Magnoliopsida; Asterales; Asteraceae.